GUGCUCACUUCGGCAACAUGUAUACUAACGUUAGAACGAUACAGAGAAGAUCAGUGUGGGCCCUGGGCAAGGAUGACAUGCAAAUUUGUGAAGCCUUUCCUAUUUUU
Molecule: small nuclear RNA, 107 nt
Organism: Suricata suricatta (meerkat)
Lineage: Eukaryota; Metazoa; Chordata; Mammalia; Carnivora; Herpestidae
Source: Ensembl